Molecule: ribosomal RNA, 350 nt
Filed under: uncultured Latescibacterota bacterium
Lineage: Bacteria; Pseudomonadati; Candidatus Latescibacterota
Description: bacterial SSU rRNA
Rfam family: Bacterial small subunit ribosomal RNA
Source: RNAcentral
ACAGGUGCUGCAUGGCUGUCGUCAGCUCGUGUCGUGAGAUGUUGGGUUAAGUCCCGCAACGAGCCGCAACCCUUAUCCCCAGUUGCCAUCAGGUAAAGCUGGGAACUCUGGGGAGACUGCCGGUGAUAAACCGGAGGAAGGCGGGGAUGACGUCAAGUCCUCAUGGCCCUUACAUCCCGGGCUACACACGUGCUACAAUGGCAGGUACAGAGGGCUGCCAACCCGCGAGGGGGAGCCAAUCCCAGAAAACCGAUCGUAGUCCGGAUUGCAGUCUGCAACUCGACUGCAUGAAGUCGGAAUCGCUAGUAAUCGCGGAUCAGCAUGUCGCGGUGAAUACGUUCCCGGGCCUU